AGUGGACGCUGGCGGUAGGCCUAACACAUGCAAGUCGAACGGCAGCACAGUAAGAGCUUGCUCUUACGGGUGGCGAGUGGCGGACGGGUGAGGAAUACAUCGGAAUCUACUUUUUCGUGGGGGAUAACGUAGGGAAACUUACGCUAAUACCGCAUACGACCUACGGGUGAAGGCAGGGGAUCUUCGGACCUUGCGCGAUUGAAUGAGCCGAUGUCGGAUUAGCUAGUUGGCGGGGUAAAGGCCCACCAAGGCGACGAUCCGUAGCUGGUCUGAGAGGAUGAUCAGCCACACUGGAACUGAGACACGGUCCAGACUCCUACGGGAGGCAGCAGUGGGGAAUAUUGGACAAUGGGCGCAAGCCUGAUCCAGCCAUACCGCGUGGGUGAAGAAGGCCUUCGGGUUGUAAAGCCCUUUUGUUGGGAAAGAAAAGCAGCAGGUUAAUACCCCGCUGUUCUGACGGUACCCAAAGAAUAAGCACCGGCUAACUUCGUG
RNAcentral lists this ribosomal RNA (492 nucleotides) under uncultured bacterium. RNAcentral describes it as "partial 16S ribosomal RNA". It matches the Rfam family "Bacterial small subunit ribosomal RNA", at positions 29 to 507 of the family's 1533-position model. The record is from RNAcentral.